This 520-nucleotide ribosomal RNA is filed under the name uncultured Glomus. Its description in RNAcentral is "SSU rRNA". It matches the Rfam family "Eukaryotic small subunit ribosomal RNA", at positions 569 to 1087 of the family's 1831-position model. Lineage: Eukaryota; Fungi; Glomeromycota; Glomeromycetes; Glomerales; Glomeraceae. The record is from RNAcentral.
AGCAGCCGCGGUAAUUCCAGCUCCAAUAGCGUAUAUUAAAGUUGUUGCAGUUAAAAAGCUCGUAGUUGAAUUUCGGGGUCAGUAGGUUGGUCGUGCCACGGGUAUGAACUGGUCUCACUGAUUCCUCCUUCCUGAUGAACCGUAAUGCCAUUAAUUUGGUGUUGCGGGGAGACUGGACUGUUACUUUGAAAAAAUUAGAGUGUUUAAAGCAGGCUAACGCUUGAAUACAUUAGCAUGGAAUAAUGAAAUAGGACGUUCGGUCUAUUUUGUGGUUUCUAAGAUUGACGUAAUGAUUAAUAGGGAUAGUUGGGGGCAUUAGUAUUCAAUUGUCAGAGGUGAAAUUCUUGGAUUUAUUGAAGACUAACUACUGCGAAAGCAUUUGCCAGGAUGUCUUCAUUAAUCAAGAACGAAAGUUAGGGAUCGAAGACGAUCGAGAUACCGUCGUAGUCUUAACCAUAAACUAUACGACGACUAAGGGNUCGGAUGAUGUUAAUUUUUAAUGUACUUACGAUUCGGCGCC